AUUGAACGCUGGCGGCAGGCCUAACACAUGCAAGUCGAGCGGAUGAAGGGAGCUUGCUCCUGGAUUCAGCGGCGGACGGGUGAGUAAUGCCUAGGAAUCUGCCUGGUAGUGGGGGAUAACGUCCGGAAACGGGCGCUAAUACCGCAUACGUCCUGAGGGAGAAAGUGGGGGAGCUUCGGACCUCACGCUAUCAGAUGAGCCUAGGUCGGAUUAGCUAGUUGGUGGGGUAAAGGCCUACCAAGGCGACGAUCCGUAACUGGUCUGAGAGGAUGAUCAGUCACACUGGAACUGAGACACGGUCCAGACUCCUACGGGAGGCAGCAGUGGGGAAUAUUGGACAAUGGGCGAAAGCCUGAUCCAGCCAUGCCGCGUGUGUGAAGAAGGUCUUCGGAUUGUAAAGCACUUUAAGUUGGGAGGAAGGGCAGUAAGUUAAUACCUUGCUGUUCUGACGUUACCAACAGAAUAAGCACCGGCUAACUUCGUG
RNAcentral lists this ribosomal RNA (484 nucleotides) under uncultured bacterium. RNAcentral's name for it is "partial 16S ribosomal RNA". It matches the Rfam family "Bacterial small subunit ribosomal RNA", at positions 30 to 507 of the family's 1533-position model. The record is from RNAcentral.